Molecule: long non-coding RNA, 1573 nt
Filed under: Homo sapiens (human)
Lineage: Eukaryota; Metazoa; Chordata; Mammalia; Primates; Hominidae
Description: non-protein coding LINC00882:75
Source: RNAcentral
AAUCUGUGUGUAGGCAUGGAAGCAAACAUCCUCUCUUGGCUUCUGCAGCAAAUUCCAAGUGGCAAUGGAACUUUACCUUCGCUGACUCUUUUGUUUCUUUUUUCCCGUGGAUUCUGUGCUUUUGUUUUUGUUUCUGGUUUUGGUUUUUAUAUAACUCAGAAGUUAUUUCCUAAUGUGCCAGAAAUGUUUGUGAAUUUGGUUUUAUAGCCUAUUUGAUCAUCCUUUUUAGGUGGAGACCUAUUCUGUUGGGUUAGAGAUGACAGAAAAUCUUAUUUGUCGGUUGGUUUGUUUGUUCAAGAAUACACUGACCUUCUACAAGAAAGGAGAGCUCUUUGACACCUCAUAAGUUUACAGAAGCUUGGGACAGCUCUGAAUGGCAACACGGUCCUGAGAUAUGUGAUUACCUGGGACUUUCAUUGGACCUGCAUUUCAGCUCUACUCUCCUCACUGCCCUAUGCUGCUUUGACCCUAAAAGUGAAGCCAGCUUGGCCAGGUGCAGUGACUCACACCUGUAAUCCCAGCACUUUGGGAGGCCGAGGUGGGCAAAUCAAGAAGUCAGGAAAUCGAGACCACCCUGGCCAACAUUGUGAAACACCAUCUCUACUAAAACACAAAAAAAUUAGCCAGGUGUGGUGGCACGCACCUGUAGUCCCAGCUACUCGGGAGGCUGAGGCAGGGGAAUCACUUGAACCCGUGAGGAGGAAAUUGCAGCGAGCCAAGAUCGCGCCACUGCACCCCAGCCUGGGCGACAGAGAGAGACUCCAUCUCAAAAACAAAACAAAACAAAACAAAAAAAACAAAAAGUGAAGCCAACUCAAUUGUCUCAUAGAACUGAUCUUUACGGUGUUUUUAAAUAAACAUAGAAAUUGGCCCUCCCAGUCUUAAAACUUCAAAAACUUACAUUUGUCUUACCUCAGUUCCUUUCUCAGGAAUCCAAUCAUCAAGGCUCCCAGAUAGUAUCAAUGAACGGAAACUUACCAGAUCACGAUAUCUGGACAAUGAGAUGUCAGAUCCCCCUCAUCCAUCCUGAUUACCUAACUGACUACCUGCUUCCUGUUGGCCAACUACUCUUCCUUACCCCUCCCUAAUUCUUGUUUUCCCACAAAUGGUUACAUUUCUGUCCUGCUAUAGAAGCCCUUAAUUUUAAUUGGUCGAGGAGAUGGAUUUGAGACUGAUUUUUUGCUCUCCUUGGCUGUUGCACCUGAAUAGCCUUUUUCCCUGGCAAUACUUUUUGUCUCAGUGAUUGGCUUUCUGUGCAGUGAGCAAUGGGACCAAACUUCUGGUGUUUUGGUAACAAAUUUUGGUUUCCUGACUGUGAAUGCAUUGCUUGUGACUCAGCUGCCAUGAGCUGGGAGAGUUUCAAAAGCCCUCUAAGCAGCUACCUGACCAUUUUGGCCAGAGGUGGAUUUUCGUCUCUCCCCAUUUGGGCCCACUUCUGCCAACCCCAACCAUGUUCCUGAUUGCCUAGGAAGAACAGCCUUUGAAAUUUGACGUCUAUGUACAGAAAGAGGAAAAAAAGUAUCAACAGCAACUUAAGCCCACUGGAUGGAUUUAAGGUUCUCCUACAUUCCCA